AGGCCUCAAGUGAUGUGUGACUACCCCCUAAAUUUAAGCAUAUUAAUAAGGGGAGGAAGAGAAACCAACCGGGAUUCCCUGAGUAGCUGCGAGCGAAACGGGAAGAGCUCAGCACGUAGGGACGGCAUGGAAACGUGCCUGUCCGAUUCCGUGUACUGGACCGGUCCGUUAUCUAUCACGCACUGUGCACUUCAAGUUCAACUUGAAGGUGGCCCAUUCUCCCAUAGAGGGUGAUAGGCCCGUGGAAAGGCAUGAGGUGA
RNAcentral lists this non-coding RNA (260 nucleotides) under Anopheles gambiae (African malaria mosquito). RNAcentral's name for it is "Eukaryotic large subunit ribosomal RNA". It matches the Rfam family "Eukaryotic large subunit ribosomal RNA", at positions 1 to 240 of the family's 3401-position model. Lineage: Eukaryota; Metazoa; Arthropoda; Insecta; Diptera; Culicidae. The record is from Rfam by way of RNAcentral.